GGGAGUGAAAUAGUACCUGAAACCGUUUGCCUACAAGCAGUCGGAGCGGCGCUUGCGCCGUGACGGCGUGCCUUUUGUAGAAUGAGCCAGCGAGUUACGGCGCGUGGCGAGGUUAAGCCACGAAGCGAGCCGCAGCGAAAGCGAGUCCGAAACGGGCGAGCAGUCGCGCGCCGUAGACGCGAAGCCGGGUGAGCUAUCCAUGGGCAGGCUGAAGCGGGGGUAAGACCCCGUGGAGGGCCGAACCCACCUAGGU
RNAcentral lists this ribosomal RNA (253 nucleotides) under Cyclophora tenuis. RNAcentral describes it as "partial Bacterial large subunit ribosomal RNA". It matches the Rfam family "Bacterial large subunit ribosomal RNA", at positions 534 to 789 of the family's 2925-position model. The record is from RNAcentral. Lineage: Eukaryota; Bacillariophyta; Fragilariophyceae; Cyclophorales; Cyclophoraceae.